RNAcentral lists this ribosomal RNA (468 nucleotides) under uncultured bacterium. RNAcentral's name for it is "partial 16S ribosomal RNA". It matches the Rfam family "Bacterial small subunit ribosomal RNA", at positions 28 to 507 of the family's 1533-position model. The record is from RNAcentral.
GACGAACGCUGGCGGCGUGCUUAACACAUGCAAGUCGAACGGAAAGGCCCUGCUUUUGUGGGGUGCUCGAGUGGCGAACGGGUGAGUAACACGUGAGUAACCUGCCCUUGACUUUGGGAUAACUUCAGGAAACUGGGGCUAAUACCGGAUAGGAGCUCCUGCUGCAUGGUGGGGGUUGGAAAGUUUCGGCGGUAGGGGAUGGACUCGCGGCUUAUCAGCUUGUUGGUGGGGUAGUGGCUUACCAAGGCUUUGACGGGUAGCCGGCCCGAGAGGGUGACCGGCCACAUUGGGACUGAGAUACGGCCCAGACUCCUACGGGAGGCAGCAGUGGGGAAUAUUGCACAAUGGGCGGAAGCCUGAUGCAGCAACGCCGCGUGCGGGAUGACGGCCUUCGGGUUGUAAACCGCUUUCGCCUGUGACGAAGCGUGAGUGACGGUAAUGGGUAAAGAAGCACCGGCUAACUACGUG